GACGAACGCUGGCGGCAUGCCUAAUACAUGCAAGUCGAACGCUGAAGCACUCUGCUUGCAGAGUGCGGAUGAGUGGCGCACGGGUGAGUAACACGUGGGAAAUCUCCCUAUCAGAGGGGGAUAACAUUCGGACACGGAUGCUAAUACCGCAUAUAUUCUUGGACCGCCUGGUCCUUGAACGAAAGACGGCUUUGCUGUCGCUUCUAGAUGAUCCCGCGGCGUAUUAGUUAGUUGGUGGGGUAAAGGCCUACCAAGACAAUGAUACGUAGCCGACCUGAGAGGGUGAUAGGACACACUGGGACUGAGACACGGCCCAGACUCCUACGGGAGGCAGCAGUAGGGAAUCUUCCACAAUGGGCGAAAGCCUGAUGGAGCAAUGCCGCGUGAAUGAAGAAGGUCUUCGGAUCGUAAAGUUCUGUUAUUAGAGAAGAACAAGUCAAGGAGUAACUGUAGAGACUUUGACGGUACCUAAGCAGAAAGUCACGGCUAACUACGUG
Molecule: ribosomal RNA, 497 nt
Filed under: uncultured bacterium
Lineage: Bacteria
Description: partial 16S ribosomal RNA
Rfam family: Bacterial small subunit ribosomal RNA
Source: RNAcentral